This 62-nucleotide microRNA precursor is filed under the name Podarcis lilfordi (Lilford's wall lizard). The record is from RNAcentral. Lineage: Eukaryota; Metazoa; Chordata; Lepidosauria; Squamata; Lacertidae.
CGUUUUCUUUAGGUUUUGAUUUUCGCAUGAGCAUACCAUAAAAAUCAAAACCUAAAAAAAUA